ACUGUGUGGUAGAGCUCAUGUGAGCUGGGU
Molecule: non-coding RNA, 30 nt
Filed under: Mus musculus (house mouse)
Lineage: Eukaryota; Metazoa; Chordata; Mammalia; Rodentia; Muridae
Source: RNAcentral